Non-coding RNA from Podarcis lilfordi (Lilford's wall lizard), 73 nucleotides. Lineage: Eukaryota; Metazoa; Chordata; Lepidosauria; Squamata; Lacertidae. The record is from the annotation of a GenBank genome assembly.
GCUGGGAUAGCUCAGUCAGGAGAGCAUGAGACUCUUAAUCUCAGGAUCGUGGGUUUGAGCCCCACAUUGGGCA